UGAACGCUGGCGGUAGGCCUAACACAUGCAAGUCGAACGGCAGCACAGUAAGAGCUUGCUCUUACGGGUGGCGCGUGGCGGACGGGUGUGGAAUACAUCGGAAUCUACUUUUUCGUGGGGGAUAACUUAGGGAAACUUACGCUAAUACCGCAUACGACCUACGGGUGAAAGCAGGGGAUCUUCGGACCUUGCGCGAUUGAAUGAUCCGAUGUCGGAUUAGCUAGUUGGCGGGGUAAAGGCUCACCAAGGCGACGAUCCGUAGCUGGUCUGAGAGGAUGAUCAGCCACACUGGAACUGAGACACGGUCCAGACUCCUACGGGAGGCAGCAGUGGGGAAUAUUGGACAAUGGGCGCAAGCCUGAUCCAGCCAUACCGCGUGGGUGAAGAAGGCCUUCGGGUUGUAAAGCCCUUUUGUUGGGAAAGAAAAGCAGCAGGUUAAUACCCCGCUGUUCUGACGGUACCCAAAGAAUAAGCACCGGCUAACUUCGUG
Molecule: ribosomal RNA, 490 nt
Filed under: uncultured bacterium
Lineage: Bacteria
Description: partial 16S ribosomal RNA
Rfam family: Bacterial small subunit ribosomal RNA
Source: RNAcentral